RNAcentral lists this ribosomal RNA (370 nucleotides) under uncultured eukaryote. RNAcentral's name for it is "partial 18S ribosomal RNA". It matches the Rfam family "Eukaryotic small subunit ribosomal RNA", at positions 592 to 976 of the family's 1831-position model. The record is from RNAcentral.
CAAUAGCGUAUAUUAAAGUUGUUGCAGUUAAAAAGCUCGUAGUUGGAUUUCUGGUCGGAAGCUCCUGUCCUCUGAUGAGCGUACAAGUGCGUCCUACCAUCCUUCUGUUAACCUUUAAGGCUUUCGCGGCUUUCUAGGGGCUCAGAUAUUUUACCUUGAGAAAAUUAGAGUGUUCCAGGCAGGCUAGCGCCGGAAUACAUUAGCAUGGAAUAAUGGAAUAGGACUUUUGCCUCUUCUGUUGGUCAUGAGGCUCGAGUAAUGAUUAAUAGGGAUAGUUGGGGGCAUUAGUACUUAACUGUCAGAGGUGAAAUUCUCGGAUUUGUUAAAGACUAACUUAUGCGAAAGCAUUUGCCAAGGAUGUUUUCAUUAA